Molecule: small nuclear RNA, 192 nt
Filed under: Capsella rubella
Lineage: Eukaryota; Viridiplantae; Streptophyta; Magnoliopsida; Brassicales; Brassicaceae
Description: U2 spliceosomal RNA
Rfam family: U2 spliceosomal RNA
About the family: U2 is a small nuclear RNA (snRNA) component of the spliceosome (involved in pre-mRNA splicing). Complementary binding between U2 snRNA (in an area lying towards the 5' end but 3' to hairpin I) and the branchpoint sequence (BPS) of the intron results the bulging out of an unpaired adenosine, on the BPS, which initiates a nucleophilic attack at the intronic 5' splice site, thus starting the first of two transesterification reactions that mediate splicing.
Source: Rfam by way of RNAcentral
AUACCUUUCUCGGCCUUUUGCCUAAGAUCAAGUGUAGUAUCUGUUCUUAUCAGUUUAAUAUCUGAUAUGUGGGCCAUCGGCUCACACGAUAUUAACUCUUUUAAGGGAGAAGGCCCGUUAAGGUAGCUUGCUAUCUGGGCCUUCGCGAGUCGCCCAUGCGUUGCACUACUGCUCGGGACUGGCUCAAUCCGG